AAGAUGCCAAAUGUAAACAAAUGCCGUAUCUUUUUGUAUGAUAGGUUGGACAGCACUUCAUGAAGCUAGUGUAGGAGGAUUUUAUCGGACAGCAAGUGAACUAUUAAAAGGUGGAGCAGAUGUAAAUAUCAAAGGAUUAUACCAGAUUACUCCCCUACAUGAUGCAGUGAUGAAUGGACAUUAUAAGGUGGCAGAGUUACUUCUUCUGAAUGGAGCUGAUCCAUUAUUUAGAAAUGAUGAUGGAAAAUGUGCUUUGGAUGAGGCCAAGGAUUUAUGUAUGAAGCGUCUCCUUGAGAGAUAUAUCCCUAAACAUCAAAAAUGCCUUACAUCAGCUCAAAGGAGUAGCAUUGACCCACUAGACAUAGAGGAUGUGUACCAACACAAGGAAUGAAAACAGGUGGGAUCAACAAGAGGAAUGCCAGAGGGGAAAGCCAGCUUCAUUUAGCCGUCAGAAGAGGAAAUCUGUCCCUAGUGAAAGCCCUGAUAGAAUCUGGAGCAGAUGUGAAUCUAAACGAUAAUGCAGGUUGGACACCACUUCAUGAGGCAUCUAAUGAAGGAUCUAUUGAUAUAAUUGUAGAGUUAUUAAAAGCUGGUGCUAAGGUUAAUUGUGAAAAUAUAGAUGGAAUUCUGCCCUUACAUGAUGCUGUUGCAAACAAUCAUUUAAAGGCAGCUGAGAUUCUACUACAAAAUGGAGCAAACCCUAAUCAAAAAGAUCAAAAACAGAAGAGUGCUUUGGAUGAAGCAGAUGAUGAAAAAAUGAAAGAAUUACUAAGAUCUUAUGGUGCUAUUGAGACUGUUAAUAGAGAUGAGAGUGAUGCUAUAGUCAAUGAAAAAAUUCCUGCUGUCCAGUCUAAAAGACAUAAACAGUGUUUUUGUGAUGAUGGCAAAACUAUUGACUCAUCUUCCCUUUCACACCAAGAAAGAUCAAGCGAAAGCCUUUCUGUGCAUCAGACCCUCAGUGCCAUUCUACAAGAUAUAGAAGAAAAACAAGAAUAUUUAUUAGAGUUUGAAAUAAGAAACCCUGAAGAUGCAGAACAAUACAUUGAAAAGAUGUUAAAGAUAAAAAAGAUUAUGGAUAAUGUGCUUGCCAAGCAGAAAGCAGAAAGGGAUGAUCUGGCUAAAAAAUACAGGGUAUCCAUAGAGUCAUUUAAGCAUGGAGCCCUGAGAGAACAAUUGGCCAACUUGGCUGCAAGACAGAAGAGCCUUUUAGUUGUGGCAAAAAAACAGAAAAAAAUAAGCCUGAAAAUUCAAAACUGUAAGAAUGUUACAUCAUUGCCUUGUCUUAGUUUAAGGAAGCUCCCACCCAGAUCAGAAAUCUCUAGUGAAAAGGACAGCCAAGAGCUCACCAGUCUGGAAAAUUUAGAGCAUCCCCAAUCAGGUUCACUUUCUCCUGUUUCUGGAAGCAUGCAGGAAACACAAUUGUCUCUGGAAACUUGGAACUACAGCCAAAAUACCAACAUUUGUCUAAAUUCAGAGGCAGUGAGAAGGGGAGAAUUUUCUGGAAAUGAUAUGAAUUCUAAACAAAAUGUCAGUGAUUGUACCUUGGAUGGUUUUCCAAAAUCCAGACAUUCAGAUGGCACAGAGAAGAAUAAAUUACCAUCCCAACCUGUUGCUUUUAUUGGUCAAACAGAAUAUUCACAGAAAGAGAAUGAUCUUACAGAAGCUACAGACAAAGACCAUGAAUUCUAUGUUUCUUCCCCAGUAAUCGGCAAAUUAAAUAUUUCAGAAACUGCAAGUGUCCUUGCUGAAAAUGCUGCCCAUCCAUCAAAUAUUAUUGGUGAUCAGGACCUUUCCAAUUAUGAUCCCAAAAGAGGAAACAGAAAAACAAGUUCCCAGCAAUCACCUACAGGGGCAUCAGAAUCUCUGGCACAUCAAGGGAUUGCUGUCUUAGGCAGUGAUACAGUGCAUCAGAUGAAACCAUAUCUUAAAAAAUCAGUUUCUGUUGUUCCAUGUGCAGAUGACAGUCAGAUCUCCUCUUCCUCUGGAUCUGGGCAACAAGAUACAAUAAAAAAGGCUUUAAACUACAGUAGAGCUCCUAAAAAGAAAUGUAUUCAGAUAAAAGAUUUGAUAUUACUAGGAAGAAUUAACCCAGGAAAUAACAUUCUGGAAUUCAAAACACAGGAGACUACCCACAAAGCCAGUAUUUUAUUGAAUGGUAAACUUAAGGUAGAAAGUGGUCAGAUUUAUAAAAACCCAGUCACCUGGCUCAAGGAUCUUCUGGGAGGCAACAGUUAUGUGACCUGGAAUUAUGCUUGGAGUAAGGUAACGUAUCUUGGGAAGGAGCUUUUAAAGUAUGUUUCUGAGGAUGUACCCAUACGUCCAGAACCAAACUCAGUACCUCAGCAAUAUCAACCUUGUCUUCCAGAAGUUGCUUGUUUAGAUGACCCAGUACAGGAACCAAACAAAUCAAUGUUUGAGAAAACAAAAUUUGGACAAGGAACUUCCAGAGAGUCAAUGCAAAGCAUCCCACGUUAUCUACAAAUAAAUGAAAUACUAUUAAUCAGUGAUCAAGAAUUUCUCCCAUGCCACAUAAUGGAUCAGCAUUGGAAGUUUUGUGUGGAAUGUGAGGAACUGACACCCUAAAACCUUGGUUUCUUAAUAUUUUAUUGGAUAUUUGUUCAAAUUAUCAACAAACAUUUAUAUUUCAUCUUGUAUAAUCUGGUGGGCCUAUUUUAACAUACACUUUAUGAGUUGCUAUUUAGGAUGUAUGUUUACUGUUCUUAAGAUGUAUGUAACUGUUCAACAAUUAUAUAAGAUUAAUGCUUUUUUGCCAUUGAAGUAAAGGCACAUUUGAACUAGACCAUAUUGAUUGGCUCUCUGGCUUUCU
Molecule: small RNA, 2827 nt
Filed under: Pan troglodytes (chimpanzee)
Lineage: Eukaryota; Metazoa; Chordata; Mammalia; Primates; Hominidae
Description: processed transcript
Source: RNAcentral